UCCUUCAUUCCACCGGUGUCUGUUUAAUGGCUGCAGACGUCCGUGGCAUGGAGGCCU
This 57-nucleotide microRNA precursor is filed under the name Eptatretus burgeri (inshore hagfish). RNAcentral's name for it is "Ebu-Mir-205-P6_pre stem-loop". The record is from RNAcentral. Lineage: Eukaryota; Metazoa; Chordata; Myxini; Myxiniformes; Myxinidae.